AGUUGCCUUAGUUUGUUAUUAGUUUGGUUUAGUUUGUUAGAUUAUACUAAUAUGAUAAUUAGUAUAAACAGGAGGUACUUGUAAUACUUCUUUACUUUUUCAUCAAAUAGUAAAAUGUAGUUCCUUAUUCUCUCCCUCCUCUAUCUUCCUCUCUACUGUCUUCUUCAACCUUAAGCACAUUAAUGGCUUCCUCUUCUCCUCCUCCUCCUGAUUAUCUUCCUCCAUAACACAAAUUAUAACAUGGUAAUAGCGGGUCGACUCCUAGCACAUUCAUUCCUCGUUUUAUUUGAUUUCAAUUUCAGGAAUUUUCAUCUUAUUUAUUUGAAUUUUCCGCUUGCAAUUUCUUGUUCAUAAUUUCCUCAGUUCUUACUCGAAUUCAAAUGAUUUGGAUUUGAAUUCACGUAUACUCCUUCAGAUUUUGUUUAAAAUGAUUUGGAUUGAUCGCUCAUGAUUUCUUGAAUUUUCCCCAAAAUCUAGUAUUUCUCAAAUUUCAAGCGAAUUGUUGUGGGGAUUAGAUUAGUGUUUUCCAGUAUAUUUCAUCUACGUUUCUUGAAUACUUAGCAAUUUCAUGAGUUUGCGAUUUUUGGGUAUCUAGGUUGAAGGUUUUAUUGGUUGUUGAAGGAAAAAAAAAUCUGGGUUUGAUUGGUGUUGCACGCAAGCUAUUCGAUAAAAUGUAAGAGAGAAAUAUUGUUGCUUGGAAUGCCAGAAUUCUGGGUGUUUGACAUUCGUGCAUUUCGUUUACAUACCGGGUUGCUCAUCGUUGAAGUUGAUUCAUCAAAUUCUUGGGUUGGUUCCUCUGUUCUUGGUAAUAAGCAAUUCGGUGUUAGAAAUUUUCUUGGCUCGUGAUUGUUCCUGUUUUGAGUUCGGAUUUCUCUGAUUCUCUGAGUUUGUCUUGCUGGGUAUGAAUCUUGCCAAUCGUAAUUGUAAGUCUUUAUUAUUUCAUUUAGAGUUUGGAGAGGCAUUCUUGAAUGUGAAAUUUGUGUUGUAGUGCUGUUAAUUGCCAUUUAUUGUUGUUAGAAACUUGGAAAUUGGUUAUGUUCUACGUUUGAUGAACAAUGGUGUUUGCCUACUAGGUGAUCCGAUGAAAUUUUUUGUAUAAUUUUCGAUUUCAUUCUCUGUUUGAUUUACACGUUGAAUAUUGGAAGUUUCUUGGAGUUUGUGUUGUAGUUUGGAUGUUGUAUGACCUGAAGUUUCAAUGUCUAUUGUGCUAGAGAUUCAAUAAUAGCAGUGGUGUUGUUAGAAAAUUUAACUGAUUUGAUGCGAAAUUAGUGUUUGGUGGUAGCAGUUAACAACAAUUCAAUUCAUUCUUUCCUUCUUCUAAAACACAUUUCUAUUCUAUAAUUCUUCUACUUGCUUCUCACCACAAAUUUCCUACUGUUUUUCUUGAAAUCAAGUUGUGAUAUCGUCUAGUAUUCUUAGAUUUUUGUUUUGCGCCCAUAGAGUGAGGCAUUUCUCAUGAUCCAUUGUGAUCAUUUUCUUAGACCCAAAGUGGUCCUUUGUUCAAGACCCAUAUGUAACACCCCACAAUUUUUGUACCUAUUUAUAUGCUUAUUAUUUGUAUAUUAAAUAUCUUAUGAAAGUAAAUUAAAUUAUUUCUUUUAUGAAAAUAUUAAUUUUUCUCACUUUGGCUUUAGUUCAAGAGUGGUCAACUAAGUUUUAUAUUUCUAAAAGGGGUUAUCAUAUAAGUAUACACCUCUAAGUUUAGAUGGUAAAAGGAAAACAAAUAGAAAAGAGAGAAAAAAAAAAGGAAAAAGGAGUUUAAAACCAAAAAAAGAAAAAAGAAAAAGAAAAAAAAAAAAGAACAAAGGCUUUACGGGAUUGUAAUUCCCAGCCAAAACAAACAAACAAAACAAAGGUUUCUUUCUUUUCAUUCACUUCAUCUUCUACCCUAUUCAUUCUUCUCCUAUUUCUUGAUUCAAUACCCUAAAUUCACAAACUUUGUUGAACGUUUAUCACACAUCAAUCUUUCUUCCUCUACCUUCAACAAUACUUGAUUUUGUGGGUAUUUCAAAGAGUGAAAAUUUGGGUUUCAAAUUGGACGUUUUUGGGGGCGAAAAUCGGAUUAAAAAAAAAGUGAUUUUCGGGUCUUUUUCUUGAGUAAUUUCAUCUCUCUAUUCAAAUCACGGGUUUAUAGAGGAACCCUUUUGACUUGUAAUUGAGAUUGGUUGAUAGUCGUUUGCUAAUAAGGGCUUGAUGGUGACUAGCUUAUAUUGGGGUGAGAGCGUUGAUUUCACCUAGAUGUAGAUUUAUUAAAGUUAAGACUUCCGCUGCAAUAGUUUAGAAUUAUGGUUUGUUAUAGGAGUGUAUUAAUUAAUUACAUUUCCUUUUAGUUGUAAUAGUUAAUAAUUAAUUUAUGUAUUAGUAGUAGUACCUUUCGCCUUGCUGUUAUUAAAUGUUUAAUAACUGCGGCAUAACAGCUCUUGAAUUGUCCAUGCUUUGUACUAUAAUAUGUUUUCUAAAUAAAGUGGAAAUUCAGGAUUGUUACACCA
This is a long non-coding RNA of Beta vulgaris subsp. vulgaris (sugar beet), 2489 nucleotides long. RefSeq lists it as uncharacterized. Lineage: Eukaryota; Viridiplantae; Streptophyta; Magnoliopsida; Caryophyllales; Amaranthaceae. The transcript is spliced from 3 exons. The record is from RefSeq and is a predicted model, not a curated record.